Molecule: small RNA, 553 nt
Filed under: Pongo abelii (Sumatran orangutan)
Lineage: Eukaryota; Metazoa; Chordata; Mammalia; Primates; Hominidae
Description: processed transcript
Source: RNAcentral
GGAUGAAAAAGGAAACCUUCCUUGUGAAGACCUCAGAGGACAUAUGGUGGGCAAGCCAGUGCAUAAGGGAUCUGAAUCACCAAAUUCAUUUCUGGAUCAGGAAUAUCGAAAGAGAUUUAAUAUUGUCGAAGAAGAUACUGUCUUAUAUUGCUAUGAAUAUGAAAAAGGAAGAUCAAGUAGUCAAGGAAGACGAGAAAGCACCCCAACUUAUGAAAACUCUCUACUUCGGUAUAUGAGCAAUGAAAAGAUUGCUCAAGAAGAAUACAUGUUUCAGAGAAACAGCAAAAAGGACACAGGGAAGAAGUCAAAAAAGAAGGGUGAUAAGAGUAAUAGCCCAACUCACUAUUCAUUGCUACCUAGUUUACAAAUGGAUGCACUGAGACAAGACAUCAUGGGCACUCCUGUGCCAGAGACCACACUAUACCAUACAUUUCAGCAGUCCUCACUGCAACACAAAUCAAAGAAGAAAAACAAAGGUCCUAUAGCAGGCAAGAGCAAAAGACGAAUUUCUUGCAAAGAUCUUGGCCGUGGUGACUGUGAAGGCUGGCUUUGG